UACCAGCACCCCGAGUGGUCGGGACGAUUAUUGGGCCUAAAGCAUCCGUAGCCGGUUCUACAAGUCUUCCGUUAAAUCCACCUGCUUAACAGAUGGGCUGCGGAGGAUACUAUAAGACUAGGAGGCAGGAGAGGCAAGCGGUACUCAGUGGGUAGGGGUAAAAUCCGUUGAUCCAAUGAAGACCACCAGUGGCGAAGGCGGCUUGCCAGAAUGCGCUCGACGGUGAGGGAUGAAAGCUGGGGGAGCAAACCGG
Molecule: ribosomal RNA, 253 nt
Filed under: uncultured bacterium
Lineage: Bacteria
Description: partial 16S ribosomal RNA
Rfam family: Archaeal small subunit ribosomal RNA
Source: RNAcentral